Long non-coding RNA from Drosophila innubila, 474 nucleotides. RefSeq lists it as uncharacterized. The record is from RefSeq and is a predicted model, not a curated record. The transcript is spliced from 2 exons. Lineage: Eukaryota; Metazoa; Arthropoda; Insecta; Diptera; Drosophilidae.
AUCGAUUUUAAAUUAAGAAUUCUGACUGCCCAUUUCUAUGGCAGAUGUCCGAAGUAUUAGUCAGAUUUUAACCAAACUUAGUCCGAAUAUCUAAAAUCAUGGCAAUUAUAUAAUCGGUGAGUCUCGUCAAGAUACCUCCAGAAACAAUUGAAAGGAAGUUUAAAAUAAGAACGUUUCGUACUAAAAACAAGUAAAUUUUGGGAUAUUUCUAUUCCAUUGUCGCACCUUAUAAUUCGCAACUGGUUCAAGAGAAGCAAAGAUGACGUUAAGCUGGAUUCCCUGCACUAUGGCGUAUUUCAGGAAAUUAGCUGGCAAAAAUCUGUAACUUAGCACUUCAAAGAAAAUUUGGACCAAAAAAAAGGGCGUGGCAUGGGAAAGGCGUAAAUUAACAUCCAAACGAAAAUUUCAUGUUUUUCAACAUUUAAAAUGCGAUAACGAAUUUUAAACAAAUUUAAAAAAUAAAACUUACUUUUA